This 63-nucleotide transfer RNA is filed under the name Epopella plicata. RNAcentral describes it as "tRNA-Arg". Lineage: Eukaryota; Metazoa; Arthropoda; Thecostraca; Balanomorpha; Austrobalanidae. The record is from RNAcentral.
GAACAAGAAGCGAAAAAUUUGCUAUCGGUUUCGACCCGGUCCUUGGUCUCUGACCCUUGUUCU